RNAcentral lists this ribosomal RNA (451 nucleotides) under uncultured bacterium. RNAcentral describes it as "partial 16S ribosomal RNA". It matches the Rfam family "Bacterial small subunit ribosomal RNA", at positions 354 to 796 of the family's 1533-position model. The record is from RNAcentral.
GUGGGGAAUAUUGGACAAUGGGGGGAACCCUGAUCCAGCCAUGCCGCGUGUGUGAAGAAGGCCUUUUGGUUGUAAAGCACUUUAAGCGAGGAGGAGGCUACCGAGAUUAAUACUCUUGGAUAGUGGACGUUACUCGCAGAAUAAGCACCGGCUAACUCUGUGCCAGCAGCCGCGGUAAUACAGAGGGUGCAAGCGUUAAUCGGAUUUACUGGGCGUACAGCGCGCGUAGGUGGCCAAUUAAGUCAAAUGUGAAAUCCCCGAGCUUAACUUGGGAAUUACAUUCGAUACUGGUUGGCUAGAGUAUGGGAGAGGAUGGUAGAAUUCCAGGUGUAGCGGUGAAAUGCGUAGAGAUCUGGAGGAAUACCGAUGGCGAAGGCAGCCAUCUGGCCUAAUACUGACACUGAGGUGCGAAAGCAUGGGGAGCAAACAGGAUUAGAUACCCCAGUAGUCC